AUGGAGUCGCGGGUGAAGCCCGGGUUCAGCGGCGCGGGCAGCCUGUCCGGCAGCCGGAGGAGCUACAUGGGGGCGGCGGCGCCUAGCAAGCCGGCGGUGGACGGGUGCGGCGUGGCACUGCGCGUGUUCAUCCUGGCGGCGACGCUGGUCGCCGCCGUGGUGAUGGGCCUGGACCGGCAGACGGCCACCGUGCAGGUCACCAUCGCCGACACGCUGCCGCCGCUGCAGGUCCCCGUCACGGCCAAGUGGUCCUACUCCUCCGCCUUCGUGUACUUCGUGGUGGCGAACGCGAUGGCGUGCGUCUUCUCGGCGGUGGCGCUGGCGGCGUGCCGCAGCCGGAGCGCGGUGGUGCCGCUGAUGGUCGGCGACCUGGUGGUGCAGGCGCUCCUGUUCUCGGCGGUGGGCGCGUCGGCGGAGUUCGGCAUCCUGGGCGAGCGCGGCAACUCCCACGUGCGCUGGGGCAAGGUGUGCCACGUCUACAGCAGCUUUUGCGAGCGCGCCAUGGCCGCCGUCAUCGUCUCCCUCAUCGCCGCCUUCGCCAACCUCGUGCACCUCAUGUUCGCCAUCCUAGACGUCCACAAAAACUCCUCCUACUAG
RNAcentral lists this ribosomal RNA (597 nucleotides) under Triticum aestivum (bread wheat). Its description in RNAcentral is "partial small subunit ribosomal RNA". The record is from RNAcentral. Lineage: Eukaryota; Viridiplantae; Streptophyta; Magnoliopsida; Poales; Poaceae.